Molecule: ribosomal RNA, 464 nt
Filed under: uncultured bacterium
Lineage: Bacteria
Description: SSU rRNA
Rfam family: Bacterial small subunit ribosomal RNA
Source: RNAcentral
AGGACGAACGCUGGCGGCGUGCCUAAAACAUGCAAGUCGAACGGGGGAGCAAUCCCCAGUGGCGAACGGCGGAGUAAUACAUGAGGAACGUGCCCUGAAGACUGGGAUAGUCAUUGGAAACGAUGGGUAAUACCAGAUGUGGUGGAUACUUGGCAUCAAGAAUCCAUUAAACGGUUUUUCGCUUCAGGAGUGCCUCAUGGCCUAUCAGGUAGUUGGUGAGGUAAUGGCUCACCAAGCCGACGACGGGUAGCGGGUCUCAGAGGAUGAUCCGCUCGAGUGGGACUGAGACACGGCCCACACACCUACGGGUGGCAGCAGUUGGGAAUCUUGCACAAUGGGGGAAACCCUGAUGCAGCGACGCCGCGUGGAGGAUGACGGGUCUAGGCCUGUAAACUCCUUUAUCGGGAAAGACUUAGGACGGUACCCGAUGAAUAAGGACCGGCUAACUACGUGCCAGCAGCCGC